GAUGAACGCUAGCGGCAGGCUUAAUACAUGCAAGUCGAGGGGCAGCAGGACUGUAGCAAUACAGUUGCUGGCGACCGGCAAACGGGUGCGGCACACGUACGCAACCUACCCAAAACUGGGGGAUAGCCCGGGGAAACCCGGAUUAAUACCUCGUAACCUUUUUCAGUGGCAUCACUUGAUAAGUAUAGCUCCGGCGGUUUUGGAUGGGUGUGCGCCUGAUUAGGUAGUUGGUGCGGGUAACGGCCCACCAAGCCUGCGAUCAGUAACUGGUGUGAGAGCACGACCAGUAAAACGGGAACUGGGAAACGGGCACGACUCCUACGGGAGGAAGCAGUAAGGAAUAUUGGUCAAUGGACGCAAGUCUGAACCAGCCAUGCCGCGUGAAGGAUGAAGGUCCUCGGGAUUGUAAACUUCUGUUAUGGGGGACGAAACCCGGAUAUUCUUAUCCGAUUGACGGUACCUCAGGAAUAAGCACCGGCUAACUCCGUG
Molecule: ribosomal RNA, 489 nt
Filed under: uncultured bacterium
Lineage: Bacteria
Description: partial 16S ribosomal RNA
Rfam family: Bacterial small subunit ribosomal RNA
Source: RNAcentral